UACGUAGGGUGCGAGCGUUGUCCGGAAUUAUCGGGCGUAAAGGGCUCGUAGGCGGUCUGUUGCGUCGGGAGUGAAAACUCAGGGCUUAACCCUGAGCCUGCUUCCGAUACGGGCAGACUAGAGGUAUGCAGGGGAGAACGGAAUUCCUGGUGUAGCGGUGAAAUGCGCAGAUAUCAGGAGGAACACCGGUGGCGAAGGCGGUUCUCUGGGCAUUACCUGACGCUGAGGAGCGAAAGUGUGGGGAGCGAACAGG
Molecule: ribosomal RNA, 253 nt
Filed under: uncultured bacterium
Lineage: Bacteria
Description: partial 16S ribosomal RNA
Rfam family: Bacterial small subunit ribosomal RNA
Source: RNAcentral